RNAcentral lists this ribosomal RNA (254 nucleotides) under uncultured bacterium. RNAcentral describes it as "partial 16S ribosomal RNA". It matches the Rfam family "Bacterial small subunit ribosomal RNA", at positions 524 to 776 of the family's 1533-position model. The record is from RNAcentral.
UACGGAGGGUGCAAGCGUUGUCCGGAAUCAUUGGGCGUAAAGCGCGUGUAGGCGGCCCGAUAAGUCCGCUGUGAAAGUCCAGGGCUCAACCCUGGGAUGCCGGUGGAUACUGUCGGGCUCGAGUCCGGAAGAGGAGUGUGGAAUUCCGUGGUGUAGCGGUGAAAUGCGCAGAUAUCAGGAGGAACACCAAUGGCGAAGGCAGCACUCUGGGACGUGACUGACGCUGAGACGCGAAAGCGUGGGGAGCAAACAGG